This 494-nucleotide ribosomal RNA is filed under the name uncultured bacterium. RNAcentral describes it as "partial 16S ribosomal RNA". It matches the Rfam family "Bacterial small subunit ribosomal RNA", at positions 28 to 507 of the family's 1533-position model. The record is from RNAcentral.
GGCGAACGCUGGCGGCGUGCUUAACACAUGCAAGUCGAACGGUGAAGCGCCUUCCUUUUUGGUGGGUGUGGAUGAGUGGCGAACGGGUGAGUAACACGUGAGUAACCUGCCCCCUUCUUCUGGAUAACCGCAUGAAAGUGUGGCUAAUACGGGAUAUUCUGGGUCUGUCGCAUGAUGGGUCUGGGAAAGAUAUUGUUUCGGUGGGGGAUGGGCUCGCGGCCUAUCAGCUUGUUGGUGGGGUGAUGGCCUACCAAGGCGGUGACGGGUAGCCGGCCUGAGAGGGUGGACGGUUACACUGGGACUGAGACACGGCCCAGACUCCUACGGGAGGCAGCAGUGGGGAAUAUUGCACAAUGGGUGCAAGCCUGAUGCAGCGACGCCGCGUGAGGGAUGGAGGCCUUCGGGUUGUGAACCUCUUUCGCCAGUGAAGCAGGCCUGCCUCGUUUGUGGGUGGGUUGACGGUAGCUGGAUAAGAAGCGCCGGCUAACUACGUG